UUAUUCCGACAGGGGAGCGUCAAGCCGUUCGCGGCGAAAGGCGCUGAGAGUGCGAUAGAUCGCAGACCCUCGAACCUGCUCCGGUUAGUACCGGCGAAGGAAGUCGAGCAUCUCGGAUG
This 119-nucleotide non-coding RNA is filed under the name Arthrobacter sp. RNAcentral describes it as "TPP sequence". It matches the Rfam family "TPP riboswitch aptamer (THI element)". Rfam says of the family: Vitamin B(1) in its active form thiamin pyrophosphate (TPP) is an essential coenzyme that is synthesised by coupling of pyrimidine and thiazole moieties in bacteria. Lineage: Bacteria; Bacillati; Actinomycetota; Actinomycetes; Micrococcales; Micrococcaceae. The record is from RNAcentral.